RNAcentral lists this non-coding RNA (236 nucleotides) under Anaerosphaera aminiphila. Its description in RNAcentral is "T-box sequence". It matches the Rfam family "T-box leader". From Rfam's summary of the family: Uncharged tRNA acts as the effector for transcription antitermination of genes in the T-box leader family. T-boxes are found upstream of many aminoacyl-tRNA synthetase genes and some amino acid biosynthetic genes usually in Gram-positive bacteria. Lineage: Bacteria; Bacillati; Bacillota; Tissierellia; Tissierellales; Peptoniphilaceae. The record is from RNAcentral.
UAAAACUAUAUAAGAAGAAGAGUACUUUAUUGAAAUGAGCACAGAGAGCUUCGGUUGGUGAGAGAAGUAGAAUGACAAUAGGGGAACAUGGUCUUUUUUUGGGAAGUGUCGAAUUUAUUUAGACAUUUACGGGGGCGCCCGUUAUAGCGAUAGAGUAUGAAGUACUUGAAGAGGUUAUUAUUGUGAAAUAGUAACGAAUAAAGGUGGUAACACGGAGUUUAACUUUCGUCCUUAUU